GACGAACGCUGGCGGCGUGGAUUAGGCAUGCAAGUCGAACGGUAUCAUCCUUUCGGGGGUGAGAGAGUGGCGAACUGGUGAGUAACACGUAGGUUAUCUACCCUCAAGACGGGGACAACCCAGGGAAACUUGGGCUAAUACCGGAUGUGAGCAACUUUUAGUUGUUUGAAAGGUGGCGUAAGCUGUCGCUUGGGGAUGAGCCUGCGUCCUAUUAGUUAGUUGGUGAGGUAACGGCUCACCUAGGCAAUGAUAGGUAGGCGGCCUUAACGGGUGGUCGCCCACACUGGGAUUGAGAUACGGCCCAGACUCCUACGGGAGGCAGCAGUCGAGAAUAGUCUACAAUGGUCGGAAGACUGAUAGUGCGACGCCGCGUGAACGAUGAAUCCCUUCGGGGUGUAAAGUUCUUUUAUGUGUGAGCAGUGCUUCUUAUAUUAACAGUAUGGGGAGAGAGAUAUUAGCAUAUGAAUAAGCAACGGCUAACUCCGUGCCAGCAGCCGCGGU
Molecule: ribosomal RNA, 501 nt
Filed under: uncultured bacterium
Lineage: Bacteria
Description: bacterial SSU rRNA
Rfam family: Bacterial small subunit ribosomal RNA
Source: RNAcentral